Molecule: ribosomal RNA, 373 nt
Filed under: uncultured organism
Description: partial 16S ribosomal RNA
Rfam family: Bacterial small subunit ribosomal RNA
Source: RNAcentral
GUAGGUGGCAAGCGUUGUCCGGAAUUAUUGGGCGUAAAGCGCGCGCAGGCGGUUCUUUAAGUCUGAUGUGAAAGCCCACGGCUCAACCGUGGAGGGUCAUUGGAAACUGGAGAACUUGAGUACAGAAGAGGAAAGCGGAAUUCCACGUGUAGCGGUGAAAUGCGUAGAGAUGUGGAGGAACACCAGUGGCGAAGGCGGCUUUCUGGUCUGUAACUGACGCUGAGGCGCGAAAGCGUGGGGAGCAAACAGGAUUAGAUACCCUGGUAGUCCACGCCGUAAACGAUGAGUGCUAAGUGUUAGGGGGGUUUCCGCCCCCCUUAGUGCUGCAGCCAACGCAUUAAGCACUCCGCCUGGGAGUACGGCCGCAAGGCUG